This 246-nucleotide ribosomal RNA is filed under the name Triticum aestivum (bread wheat). RNAcentral describes it as "partial small subunit ribosomal RNA". Lineage: Eukaryota; Viridiplantae; Streptophyta; Magnoliopsida; Poales; Poaceae. The record is from RNAcentral.
AUGGAAGGCUUGCUACAUUGGGAUUUUGCUCCUGGCCUAGCCCUGGCCGAUCAGGUGAGGAGAAAAUUUGGUUCUACGGUUCACUUCUCUCCUUCUCGGGAUUCCAAGGAGUUCUUCUUGGUGGUCUCUUUUUCGUCUGCCUCUUUUCCUCUCUCGGUGGAAUCGGUGGGCAUUGUUCUUCAAUGUUGCAUUGGUGGAAUUGCUGCUGGUUUUAAGGUCUCUCAUUUGAGUUCUCGGAGUUUUUGA